CCUCAAGCAUCUGAGCCGCGUUACAGUUACAAUUUUUACUUUUAUCAGAAAUUGGGUGUUAGGGAUUUUCCCCAGUGUUCCAUCAUUGUCAACGGGAGACUGAAAAAAAAAUACAGCCACGGAGCCCACCAGAUCCUCACCUGCUUGCUGAGAUUAAAGGUAUAUGCCAGCCA
Mastomys coucha (southern multimammate mouse) is the source of this 173-nucleotide long non-coding RNA. RefSeq lists it as uncharacterized. The transcript has 2 exons. NCBI's taxonomy places the organism in Eukaryota, Metazoa, Chordata, Mammalia, Rodentia, Muridae. The record is from RefSeq and is a predicted model, not a curated record.